UCUGUCUCAUUUUUGCAUCAUGUAGUUUUCACCUGGAAUGCUCUUUUUCUUUAUGUUCGUGGCCUUUCUGAAAAACAUACCACCUUCUUACUCCCACCCUGGAAAUCAAAAUGCCUCAUGGAUCUCCAAAAUAUCUACUUUUAAAUACCGAUUUUCAAAGAGGAGGCCCCAGAUGUCUUUGAAUCUUUGGAUGAGUUUCACCUUGGAAUAGCUCUGUGAAGGAAGUAUUUUCAAACAAUUGCUUUACAUGUCCGGAGCGGCUGCAAUCUUUUAUAAUGGUGAGACUGGCACCUCACGAUACAAAAUAUGCCUGCAAUAAACACUUCCAUCAAGAAGAAAGCACAGACUACCCACAGGAAAAGCGGAAGGAUGAAAUGCUCGAUCUGGUACGACGGUCUGCUCCGUGUAAGCCUCCAAAAGACGACCAGGCAAGCGAGCAAAAACGCGUUGGUGCUGAAACUCACUUCAAUAUCUCAAGAAGCGGUUAUUCCUGCGCUGAAUAGUGCCUAUUUGAAUGGAGUUGGCAGAAUGAAGCUUCCAAAGCGGAGUGCUCCUAGGCCGUGGAAACGCUUUGGAUGGAGCUUGCUGAAAAUUAAUCCUGCCCAGACAGAGCCCCGUUUGGCUCUUACACAGUCAGCAGGCCCAUGGCUCAUUUUAACAAAUGCUCAAGUCAUACACCAUCUAAGUCGCAAUCUUCGGUGAGGAAGAUGGAAAUGGAGCUUUAUGGGAAUCUCGUUGAUGUCAACUAAUAUUUUAACCUGGGAGCAUCAGCCCCCAGAGAAGACAAGGGAUCAUGAUUUCCCCUCCUCCGCUUCAUGGGCAUUUCCCUCAGUGGAGGCGCAGACACCACUGCUUUGCUACUGGUUUGACCCUGCCUGGUUCCAGCGUGGAAGCAGAACAGGAAGCGGCCUUCCAACUGCAUUCCCGUCUGGAUUUCUCUAGGCUACAUCUGAUAAGGUUCCGCAUCCAGGCUUGGAAGGACAGAGAGAUUGCCUCCACCAGAUCAAGCCACCUGAUUUGAACUGCUGUUUUUUUGAGAGAAAAAUCACUGAAAGGGAUGGUGGGGAUAGAGUAAAAUGAUCAAAAUACGUUUAGGAAAAUGAGUUGUAUACUCAACAUGAAGGCAUCCUCCAAUUAAGAUUGCUGAAAGCAGGAAACGAUUGAGAAAUGCAUGGCUUAAAAUGGCAGAUGCUUGAAGAGGAAACUGAUUCAGUUUCUGGGAGACAGGGUGCAUUUCCUUGCCGGAGGACUUCACCAAUCGUCGUCUUUCCGGACUUGCUGCAGCUUUUCUAAGGCCCCGCCACAGGUGAAAAACGUCAUGUCCUCUGAGAGUCAGAGUAUAGGCACCUCGUGAGAAACAAGCAUUUCACUUCUUUACUCUGUACUUCCCAAGUAUCCAGCUCUGGACCAGCAAGGAACCACAUCUAAGGACACAAUCUCACCUUCACAGUUGUUUUUUCAUCAUCAUCAUAUAUUAAUAAAUAAAUUUAUGGCUGGGAAGGUAAGGGGAUGAAUACAGGAAUAUCUUAUGGUGGAUUUACCAAAAAACACCUCCUCAUAUGUCUUCUCUCCCUUCUCUGUGUUGAGAACAAGAUUCACAUUUACACUUUAAAAAAAAUAGAGAUUUUUGGGAUUGUUUCAAAGUGUCAUUUGUUUUGGUCACUGCGUUGUAUAUUCAUUUCAUUUGGAUCAAAAUAUUUUCAUCAGCUAAAUUGAAAAAUGAAACAGAUGCGUGGGGCACUCAAUCUUACUGUUAUGGAAAGAAAUAAUAAAUAUUUUUUGAAAUCA
Long non-coding RNA from Ornithorhynchus anatinus (platypus), 1788 nucleotides. RefSeq lists it as uncharacterized. NCBI's taxonomy places the organism in Eukaryota, Metazoa, Chordata, Mammalia, Monotremata, Ornithorhynchidae. The transcript has 8 exons. The record is from RefSeq and is a predicted model, not a curated record.